AGAUUGAACGCUGGCGGCAUGCCUUACACAUGCAAGUCGAACGGCAGCACGGGAGCAAUCCUGGUGGCGAGUGGCGAACGGGUGAGUAAUAUAUCGGAACGUGCCCAGUCGUGGGGGAUAACGCAGCGAAAGCUGUGCUAAUACCGCAUACGAUCUAUGGAUGAAAGCGGGGGAUCGCAAGACCUCGCGCGAUUGGAGCGGCCGAUAUCAGAUUAGCUAGUUGGUGGGGUAAAAGCCUACCAAGGCGACGAUCUGUAGCUGGUCUGAGAGGACGACCAGCCACACUGGAACUGAGACACGGUCCAGACUCCUACGGGAGCAGCAGUGGGGAACUUUUGGACAAUGGGCGCAAGCCUGAUCCAGGCAAUGACCGCGUGCAGGAUGAAGG
Molecule: ribosomal RNA, 388 nt
Filed under: uncultured soil bacterium
Lineage: Bacteria
Description: bacterial SSU rRNA
Rfam family: Bacterial small subunit ribosomal RNA
Source: RNAcentral